GACAGAGGGUGCAAACGUUGCUCGGAAUUACUGGGCGUAAAGCGCGUGUAGGCGGUUACGCGAGUCGGGUGUGAAAGCCCCGGGCUCAACCUGGGAAUUGCAUUCGAGACUGCAUGGCUAGGGUGCGGAAGAGGGAAGCGGAAUUUCCGGUGUAGCGGUGAAAUGCGUAGAUAUCGGAAGGAACACCAGUGGCGAAAGCGGCUUCCUGGUCCAGCACCGACAUUCAGGCACGAAAGCGUGGGGAGCAAACAGG
This 253-nucleotide ribosomal RNA is filed under the name uncultured bacterium. RNAcentral describes it as "partial 16S ribosomal RNA". It matches the Rfam family "Bacterial small subunit ribosomal RNA", at positions 524 to 776 of the family's 1533-position model. The record is from RNAcentral.